UACGGGGGGGGGCAAGCGUUGUUCGGAAUUACUGGGCGUAAAGGGCGCGUAGGCGGUUUGCUAAGUUGGAUGUGAAAACUCUGGGCUUAACCCAGAGCCUGCAUCCAAAACUGGCAAACUUGAGUACUGGAGGGGAAAGCGGAAUUCCUGGUGUAGCGGUGAAAUGCGCAGAUAUCAGGAGGAACACCGGUGGCGAAGGCGGCGACCUGGGUGGAUACUGACGCUGAGGUGCGAAAGCGUGGGGAGCAAACAGG
RNAcentral lists this ribosomal RNA (254 nucleotides) under uncultured bacterium. Its description in RNAcentral is "partial 16S ribosomal RNA". It matches the Rfam family "Bacterial small subunit ribosomal RNA", at positions 524 to 776 of the family's 1533-position model. The record is from RNAcentral.